RNAcentral lists this ribosomal RNA (484 nucleotides) under uncultured bacterium. RNAcentral's name for it is "partial 16S ribosomal RNA". It matches the Rfam family "Bacterial small subunit ribosomal RNA", at positions 30 to 507 of the family's 1533-position model. The record is from RNAcentral.
AUUGAACGCUGGCGGCAGGCCUAACACAUGCAAGUCGAGCGGAUGAAGGGAGCUUGCUCCUGGAUUCAGCGGCGGACGGGUGAGUAAUUCCUAGGAAUCUGCCUGUUAGUGGGGGAUAACGUCCGGAAACGGGCGCUAAUACCGCAUACGUCCUGAUGGAGAAAGUGGGGGAUCUUCGGACCUCACGCUAUCAUAUGAGCCUAGGUCGGAUUAGCUAGUUGGUUUGGUAAAGGCCUACCAAGGCGACGAUCCGUAACUGGUGUGAGAGGAUGAUCAGUCACACUGGAACUGAGACACGGACCAGACGCCUACGGGAGGAAGCAGUGGGGAAUAUUGGACAAUGGGCGAAAGCCUGAUCCAGCAAAGCCGAGUGUGUGAAGAAGGUCUUCGGAUUGUAAAGCAAUUUAAGUUGGGAGGAAGGGAAGUAAGUUAAUACCUUGCUGUUUUGACGUUAACAAAAGAAUAAGCACCGGCUAACUUCGUG